CCCUCCCCCCUCUGUGCCCGCGCGAGCCUGUUGAGGGGCGCGGUUGAGCGCGCGCCCGGCAGCCGUUCGGGGGCCUUAGCAGAGAAUUGAAACUGAGCUGAUGCUGACAGAGGCUCUGGAACAGUACCAAAUCAUCAGAGCAGGAUAGUGCUGGCUAUGGAGUCCUGGAAAGAGGCAGGGAUGAACAAGCUGAACCAGGAGCUGCGGUGCUCUUGUCUGCGACUGCCUGAGAGAAGCAACUGAGUUGGAGACCAGAAAAAGAGUGGAUAAGUGGUUGGUCCUCACGAUGGAGAGAAGCCAACAGCUUCUACAGGGACCAUGCCAGGACCUGUGUUGUUCAAUAUCUUCAGCCGUGCCGAGGUUUUCUGUUGAUGCAACGCUAUUCCAAGCAGACCGUGAGGUGGUUCUUGUGCAAUUGGAGGGACCACGGUUUGAGAAGGGGGAGCAGCACAGGUACCUCUAUGGGCAUCUCCCUGGACGGAGACUCCAGGGCUCCAGUCCCCAUGGACACUGCAGGCAGGAUUCAGAUGUUCCUGGUGCUGUCCAAGGGGUCCUGGGGCAUCCAAGAGCUGGCAGAUACAACAUGGGACUUGCAGACAGCUGGACAGCCUGGAAGCAGCAGGAGACAAGGUGAGCUGCCCAGCACUUCACUUAGCACAUGGUGCCUGUUUAGCAACUGUCCUCUCACUCAAGUCUAGGAAUGAUUUUGCUCUUAGCCCCACUCUAGAGACCUGAGUGCAGCCCCAUCUUCCCCAAAGUAUAUAUUUACAAUGAGCACUUCAAAGUCACAGAAUCACAGAAUGGCUAAGGUUGGAAGGGACCUCUGGAGAUCAUCUAGUCCAACCCUCUCACUCAAGCAGGGUCACCUAGAGCACAUUGUACAGGAUCGCGUCCAGGCGGGUUUUGAAUAUUUCCAGAGAAGGAGACUCCACAACCUCUCUGGGCAACCUGUUCCAGUGCUCUGUCACCCUCACAAUGAAGAAGUUUUUCCUCAUGUUCAGAUGGAACUGUCUGUGUUUCAGUUUGUGCCUGUUGCCUCUUGUGCUGUCGCUGGACACCACUGACCACUGAAUCUGGCCCCAUCCUCUUGACACCCUGCCUUUAGAUAUUUGUAUAAGAUCCUCUCUCAGUCUUCUCUUCCCCAGGCUAAACAGGCCCAGCUCUCUCAACCUUUCCUCAUAGGGGAGAUGCUCCAGUCCUCUAAUCAUCUUUGUAGCCCUCUGCUGGACUCUCUGCAGUAGUGCCAUGUCUCUCUUGUACUGGGGAGCCCAAAACUGGACACAGUACUCCAGGUGUGGCCUCACCAGGGCUGAGUAGAGGGGGAGGAUCACCUCCCUCCACCUGCUGGCAAUGCUCUGUCUAAUGCACCCCAGGAUACCAUUGGCCUUCUUGGCCACAAGGGCACAUUGCUGCCUCGUGGUCAACUUGUUGUCCACCAGGACUCCCAGGUCCUUCUCCGCAGAGCUGCUCUCCAGCAGGUCAACCCCCAAGUGGAUAUCACAGUGGAUACAUACUGGAAAACCUUCCCUGUAUAGCUAAGACAUAAGUCAAUUAGGAAGAAGCCCGGCCUUAAAUGCAAUAAGAUGCUCAAACUGAUAGAAGAGCAGCCACAGAGAGGACUUGCUACCCGGGUA
Apteryx rowi (Okarito brown kiwi) is the source of this 1634-nucleotide long non-coding RNA. Lineage: Eukaryota; Metazoa; Chordata; Aves; Apterygiformes; Apterygidae. The record is from Ensembl.